AAGAUUGAGGAUGAACACGGAUGCGGCCACUUUCGUUUUUGACAAAAACCAUCUGAAAAGUGACAUUUUUUCGCAUAUUUGGUAGAUUUCUCAUAUUUGAGCCUUAAUCGGAUCGUUUUUAAUGACUAAAUAAGUUGAAAUCUUUCACAUUUAUAAAUUAAUUGCAUCAUAUGAAAUAGACACUUAAGUGUUUAAAAAGUGGUCAAAAUCUUUCGUCAGAUGAAACUGAAAUUUGAGGCCAAAAUCGGUCCUUACCGGACCUACUCCUUUAGAUCAAAGUGAAAGACUUGACAGUCUUAUGUGAUUCUAAAAAAAAGCAAUCUAUAACAAAUGUAUGCUCUUAUCAGGGUUCCCCUUUGGCCAAUUUUCUUUUUCACCGCCUCUUUCCCCAAAGCAAUACAUUUUUUACACUUUUAAUUAUUAUUUUUCCAACUUACAACUAACAUGACUAACAAAAACAUUUUUCGUUGAAAUUUUCAUUCUUUUAAAAAAAUAAUCACUUUUCCCC
This 508-nucleotide long non-coding RNA is filed under the name Mytilus galloprovincialis (Mediterranean mussel). Lineage: Eukaryota; Metazoa; Mollusca; Bivalvia; Mytilida; Mytilidae. The record is from RNAcentral.